UGUGAAGCGCUCACUUAAACAUCGGCAAUAGUAACCUCCACCUCAACACCAGGCUCAAUAGUGAUGGAGGUGAUCUGCUUGACAACCUCAGAGGGACUGUGCAAGUCGAUCACUCGCUUGUGCACACGCAACUCAAACCUAUCCCAGGUGUUGGUACCUGCGAGGUCACAAGGUUUACGAGUUAGACCAGUCGCAUGCUGAGAUAUUGUCGAAUAGUCUUAAAAAAGUGAGUGAUUAUUACACACAACUGUCAUUACAACCUGGCUGAUAACUAGACUAGAACCGAUAACCCGUCUAGCAGGCACUAUACCAUGGGAGACAUCGAGCACAUGGGAAUCCAGGUAAAUUAACUUCAACAGGUAAUAAUUACAUUGAAAGGAGUAAUAUUGAUGUUGCGGUUUAAUUUUCAACAGAGUCAAGUCUAGCAUGACAGAUACAGAAAUCAAUCCAUUCAGGACUAACGCCGGCUUUCCAUGAUAAAAGCCAUCCAUGUAGCGAAUCACAGUCACAGCCAUACGAAAUUACAGACAAUCUGAAAUAAAACAUACCUUCCCCACAAGGAGACUUCCUGGUGGUAAUGUGCAGCACCUUGGUGGGCAUGCGAACAGGACCCUUCACUUUGAGCCUCUUGUCCUUAGCACCCUUGAUCAGAUCAGCGCACACUGACCACGCAACCAAACCGUCAGCGACAUGGUACAAAAAACAUAUAAACCAAACAUCUAUUAACCUCUCACGAACCAAUCAAACUCUAAAAACUAUUCCAUGCACUAUUCAGUAAAAAGAGGCGAAAAAACACCUCAAAAUACAAAAUACAAAAAAACAAAAUAAAAUAGAAAUAAGAAUAAAAUCUUGAGACUUGGGCACCACUUCAUAAACCCCUAGACGAAAGACGCAGCAGCAGAGUGCGUCACGACCUACAUAAGAUCCUCCGCGAAAAGAACGAGGAACCCUAAAAUAUGGACAAACCAUGCGGGAAGGAAACGCAGCCUACCCUUCUCGAGGUUCUUCACAUUCUUGGAAGAAAGGGUGAUACGAAUGCGGUGGACAGUCUCAAUUGCCUCCUCCACUCCAGCCUUUCCAGGCUUGAUUGGCAUCGCCAUGUUGAACGACUGAACGAUACUCUAGGGUAACCCCCGAGACAGACACCAGA
Molecule: long non-coding RNA, 1150 nt
Filed under: Physcomitrium patens
Lineage: Eukaryota; Viridiplantae; Streptophyta; Bryopsida; Funariales; Funariaceae
Description: long non-coding RNA (PPAT_LNC009404)
Source: RNAcentral